RNAcentral lists this ribosomal RNA (302 nucleotides) under Escherichia coli. RNAcentral's name for it is "partial 23S ribosomal RNA". It matches the Rfam family "Bacterial large subunit ribosomal RNA", at positions 2646 to 2925 of the family's 2925-position model. The record is from RNAcentral. RNAcentral also lists the same sequence under 1 other name. Lineage: Bacteria; Pseudomonadati; Pseudomonadota; Gammaproteobacteria; Enterobacterales; Enterobacteriaceae.
CGUGGGCGCUGGAGAACUGAGGGGGGCUGCUCCUAGUACGAGAGGACCGGAGUGGACGCAUCACUGGUGUUCGGGUUGUCAUGCCAAUGGCACUGCCCGGUAGCUAAAUGCGGAAGAGAUAAGUGCUGAAAGCAUCUAAGCACGAAACUUGCCCCGAGAUGAGUUCUCCCUGACUCCUUGAGAGUCCUGAAGGAACGUUGAAGACGACGACGUUGAUAGGCCGGGUGUGUAAGCGCAGCGAUGCGUUGAGCUAACCGGUACUAAUGAACCGUGAGGCUUAACCUUACAACGCCGAAGCUGUU